GUUCACUGUGACUUGUCCAGGCUUGUUGACUGGUUGAGCUGCUGUUAACUGUGUUCAGCUGUUGAGUCAGAACUCAGAAGUCUAGUUGAAUAAACAUCAGUAGUCAAAAAUAAUUAAAAUAUGGACUACCCAAAGCCCCAGGCCCUCACCCCUUUCGAUGCGGCUAGAUCCCAGGCUAAGACAUCACAACAAGUGACUAUAAUAGAUUCGCAUAAAAGUACUACUACUAAAAAUGGUACACAAAGUGAAACACGAACUAGAAAAAUUAUAAUAACAAAGACAGGCUCAGAGAGCAAGUAAAGACAUUAAUACAAGAAAUGUAUGCUCUUAAUUUUAGGUACUAUAAAUAAUUAUGUGUGAUUAUUACAUUUGGACAUUUUGGAUUUACCAAUCAGAUCACUUAUCAGUUUACCAAUCAGAAUAAUUAUGUAUUGAAAUUAAAAUUAAUAAUA
Amphimedon queenslandica is the source of this 452-nucleotide long non-coding RNA. RefSeq lists it as uncharacterized. Lineage: Eukaryota; Metazoa; Porifera; Demospongiae; Haplosclerida; Niphatidae. The record is from RefSeq and is a predicted model, not a curated record. The transcript has 3 exons.